AUUGAACGCUGGCGGCAUGCUUUACACAUGCAAGUCGAACGGUAACAGGCCGCCAGGUGCUGACGAGUGGCGAACGGGUGAGUAAUGCAUCGGAACGUGCCCAGUCGUGGGGGAUAACUACUCGAAAGAGUAGCUAAUACCGCAUACGAUCUAUGGAUGAAAGCGGGGGACCGUAAGGCCUCGCGCGAUUGGAGCGGCCGAUGUCAGAUUAGGUAGUUGGUGGGGUAAGGGCUCACCAAGCCAACGAUCUGUAGCUGGUCUGAGAGGACGACCAGCCACACUGGGACUGAGACACGGCCCAGACUCCUACGGGAGGCAGCAGUGGGGAAUUUUGGACAAUGGGCGCAAGCCUGAUCCAGCAAUGCCGCGUGCAGGAAGAAGGCCUUCGGGUUGUAAACUGCUUUUGUACGGAACGAAACGGCUCUGGUUAAUACCCGGGGCUAAUGACGGUACCGUAAGAAUAAGCACCGGCUAACUACGUG
Molecule: ribosomal RNA, 482 nt
Filed under: uncultured bacterium
Lineage: Bacteria
Description: partial 16S ribosomal RNA
Rfam family: Bacterial small subunit ribosomal RNA
Source: RNAcentral